UACGUAGGGUGCGAGCGUUGUCCGGAAUUAUUGGGCGUAAAGGGCUCGUAGGCGGUUUGUCGCGUCGGGAGUGAAAACCAUGAGCUUAACUCAUGGCUUGCUUUCGAUACGGGCAGACUAGAGGUAUGCAGGGGAGAACGGAAUUCCUGGUGUAGCGGUGAAAUGCGCAGAUAUCAGGAAGAACACCCGUGGCGAAGGCGGUUCUCUGGGACGGUACUGACGCUGAGACGCGAAAGCGUGGGGAGCGAACAGG
Molecule: ribosomal RNA, 253 nt
Filed under: uncultured bacterium
Lineage: Bacteria
Description: partial 16S ribosomal RNA
Rfam family: Bacterial small subunit ribosomal RNA
Source: RNAcentral